RNAcentral lists this long non-coding RNA (1257 nucleotides) under Cyanistes caeruleus (blue tit). Its description in RNAcentral is "lncRNA (ENSCCEG00000011127.1)". Lineage: Eukaryota; Metazoa; Chordata; Aves; Passeriformes; Paridae. The record is from RNAcentral.
AUGGAAAAAGCAAAAUUGAUCCCCACCGCCCAAGAACAGUCAAUAGUUUGUUACGCCAGAGGUUCCGAACAGACAAACACAGGAAUUUUUAUUUGGACUGGGAUUGCCCAGGAAGGGCAGAGGCCACCCGAGCUCUCCCCGCUGCCCCGGAGGGUGCGGGAAUUCCAGGCAGGAAUUUCAGCAGGAAUUUCAGCAGGAAUUUCAACAUGGAAUUUCAGUAGGAAUUCCAGCAUUAAUUCCAUCAGGAAUUCCAACCAGGAAUUCCAACCAAGAAUUCCAGCCAGGAGUUCCAUCAGGAAUUCCAACCAGAAAUUCCAACAGGAAUUCCAACCAGGGAUUCCAGCCAGGAAUUCCAACCAGGAAUUCCAACCAGGAGUUCCAACCAGGAAUUCCAGACAUGAAUUCCAACCAGGAAUUCCAAGCAGGAAUUUCAGCAGGAAUUCCAACCAAGAAUUCCAGCCAGGAGUUCCAUCAGGAAUUCCAACCAGGGAUUCCAGCAGGAAUUUCAGCCAGGAAUUCCAGCCAGGGAUUCCAACCAGGGAUUCCAGCCAGCAAUUCCAUCAGGAAUUCCAUCAGGAAUUCCAGCCAGGGAUUCCAGCAGGAAUUCCAGCCAGGGAUUCCAACCAGGGAUUCCAGCCAGGAAUUUCAGCCAGGAAUUCCAACCAGGGAUUCCAUCAAGAAUUUCAGCCAGGAGUUCCAACCAGGGAUUCCAGCCAGGAAUUCCAACCAGGGAUUCCAACCAGGGAUUCCAGAAGGAAUUCCAGCCAGGGAUUCCAUCAAGAAUUCCAGCCAGGGAUUCCAGCCAGGGAUUCCAUCAGGAAUUCCAACCAGGGAUUCCAUCAGGAAUUCCAGCCAGGAGCGCUCCUGGUGGCUCCAGCACCGAUCCCAACUCUCCGCCAGCCCCGGAUCCUCCCCCGGGGCUCCCCAAAUCCCACCCAAACCGCCCCAAAUUCUCGCUGCAGAAAUGGAGAGCGACCCCCCCAGCCCCGCUGCCCCAGCUUGGGAAAAGGAAAGGGGAAAAAAUGGGGGAAAAAAAGCAGCUUUUGGUUGAAGAAGGCGCGAGGUGAGGGUGGAGCUGGUGGCUCCGGCUGCUGGGCUGGGCUGGAGGGCUCGGCCAGAGGAGGAGACACCACCAGAGCCCAAAAUGAGAAAAUUCCCCCCAUUUCUGGGCUGGGAAUCCACGCCGCGCUCGCUGCCGCUCCUCGGGGCUCCGCUCCCCGCCAGGGCUCGGGCAGGAACACAGAACACGGUAAAUAA